GGUUAGGUAACAUAAAGGCUAAUGUGUGAGAUUGCAAAUCUUGAGACGGUGGUUCAAUUCCACCCCUAACCU
This 72-nucleotide transfer RNA is filed under the name Trebouxiophyceae sp. MX-AZ01. Its description in RNAcentral is "tRNA-Cys". It matches the Rfam family "tRNA". Rfam says of the family: Transfer RNA (tRNA) molecules are approximately 80 nucleotides in length. The record is from RNAcentral. Lineage: Eukaryota; Viridiplantae; Chlorophyta; Trebouxiophyceae.